ACUCGCUUAUAGGAUUUUGUUAGUUUUUGACAAUUCACACGCUGGUCCGCAAUUGAACCUUCUCUAUAUUUUACAUUCUCUGACUGAAACUCCAACACAUUCAAAUAAAUUUUAAUAACACCACUACAUACACACAUACACAACAAAGGGUAAAAUGUGCAUAAACAUUUAACUCAACUCUUCUCUCAUACAGCACCCUGAAUGAUAGAAAGAAACAACCAAAGUUCUCGUAUUUGAACAAGUUUUGUUUUGAGCUAUAUCAUGGCUGCUUGUGAAGUAUUAUUUUGCGUGUUUUAUUUAAUUCAGUGAUCUGCAGCCUAAUUAAAGUAUAAAUUAUUGAAGCACGCAUUUUUAAAUAAGUAAAAUGUAAAAUAAAAGUUUUCUAAGGCCAAAAUAUGGAAUUGAAGAGGGUUAUACAGUAAUACUUCAUUGCACUAUCAAUUUGAAGCACGCAAUAGGAGCCAACAAUGGUCAACAUCAAUGGCGAAACCAUUGAAUACAUAUUUCAAACCUCAUAUGGCGCGUUAAAGGUUCUAAAACUUAUUGGUGCAAGCAAAUCCAAAACUAUGGACGCAAACGCUGCUACAUGGAACACAAAUCAUUCACACACCAGAUAUUACGUUUAAUGUCACUUUUUUCGUGCAAUUAAACAUUUUGGUCAACACAAGCACGAGAAUUGGAACGACAAUGUUUAGGUGUUCUGAAACCGUUUAUUAUCACGACGUGUGUCAACUGGGUUUUGCCAAUGAGCUAGAGGGCAAAGCAGUUUCAGUAUCUUUGAGCUUACCGGCACUUGGCCGUGCCAUUAGCAGCUAAAACACAGAAAUUAAAGGGAGGACUUUUUUGAUUCAUUUUCACCUUGUAUUGAGGAAUCAUAACGUUGUUGUAUCGCUUUACAAGGACAUAAAUUCACCGAAAUUAGUUCAAUGGAAAUACUACAGCAUGGAUGUUAAGACUUGAACGGUGCCGUGUUAGAUUUAGAAUUCCUGAAACAUAAGAAACCCUCCUCUCAGAUGAAUCUAGUACUAGUGAAAUUAAUGAAAGCACAGAUCUUAUAAAAACUCCGAAAGAAACCAAAAGAGUCCUCACAUAAUGUGCGCAGCUUACACUUCCAGACCGCACGGGGU
This is a long non-coding RNA of Zeugodacus cucurbitae (melon fly), 1127 nucleotides long. RefSeq lists it as uncharacterized. NCBI's taxonomy places the organism in Eukaryota, Metazoa, Arthropoda, Insecta, Diptera, Tephritidae. The record is from RefSeq and is a predicted model, not a curated record. The transcript is spliced from 4 exons.